This 632-nucleotide ribosomal RNA is filed under the name uncultured fungus. RNAcentral's name for it is "eukaryotic LSU rRNA". The stretch from base 211 to 364 matches the Rfam family "5.8S ribosomal RNA". Lineage: Eukaryota; Fungi. The record is from RNAcentral.
AUUAUUGAAUGUUUGAAGUAGUUGAGCUGGUCUUCACGGACAUGUGCUUGCUGCUUCUAUUCAUCCUAUCCACCUGUGCACUUAUUGUAGAGCUUUGAAGAAUGUCUUUGUUAACUCAAGGAUUAGUAUUCUAGUUCUAUGUAUUUACAAACUCUAUGAAUGUCUAGAAUGUCUUUUAUUGGGACUUCAUUGACCCUUUAAACUUUAUACAACUUUCAGCAACGGAUCUCUUGGCUCUCGCAUCGAUGAAGAACGCAGCGAAAUGCGAUAAGUAAUGUGAAUUGCAGAAUUCAGUGAAUCAUCGAAUCUUUGAACGCACCUUGCGCCCUUUGGUAUUCCGAAGGGCAUGCCUGUUUGAGUGUCAUUAAAUUCUCAACUUCAAAAGCUUUGUCUUUUUGAAGCUUGGAUGUGAAGGUUUGCUGGCGUUUCAAAUGUUCAGCUCCUUUCAAAUGUAUUAGUGGACCCAUUUGUGUUCAGCCUUAGUGUGAUAAUUAUCUACGCUAUGGUCUUUGAAUGCAUGCUCAUUAGAACUUCGAGCUGUUUCACAGUCUCGGUGUGGAGAGUUGCAUGAAUUUGCUCUUUCUGUCUUCUGAGUUAGGCUUGUCUGCUUCUAACUGUCUGCGUAUGCGGAC